ACCUGAAACCGUGUACGUACAAGCAGUGGGAGCCUCUUAAUGGGGUGACUGCGUACCUUUUGUAUAAUGGGUCAGCGACUUAUAUUCUGUAGCAAGGUUAACCGAAUAGGGGAGCCGAAGGGAAACCGAGUCUUAACUGGGCGUUAAGUUGCAGGGUAUAGACCCGAAACCCGGUGAUCUAGCCAUGGGCAGGUUGAAGGUUGGGUAACACUAACUGGAGGACCGAACCGACUAAUGUUGAAAAAUUAGCGGAUGACUUGUGGCUGGGGGUGAAAGGCCAAUCAAACCGGGAGAUAGCUGGUUCUCCCCGAAAGCUAUUUAGGUAGCGCCUCGUGAAUUCAUCUCCGGGGGUAGAGCACUGUUUCGGCAAGGGGGUCAUCCCGACUUACCAACCCGAUGCAAACUGCGAAUACCGGAGAAUGUUAUCACGGGAGACACACGGCGGGUGCUAACGU
Molecule: ribosomal RNA, 455 nt
Filed under: Escherichia coli
Lineage: Bacteria; Pseudomonadati; Pseudomonadota; Gammaproteobacteria; Enterobacterales; Enterobacteriaceae
Description: partial 23S ribosomal RNA
Rfam family: Bacterial large subunit ribosomal RNA
Source: RNAcentral